Molecule: ribosomal RNA, 588 nt
Filed under: Trichoderma virens
Lineage: Eukaryota; Fungi; Ascomycota; Sordariomycetes; Hypocreales; Hypocreaceae
Description: eukaryotic LSU rRNA
Rfam family: 5.8S ribosomal RNA (bases 204-357)
Source: RNAcentral
CAAAAACCGAGAUUUCACUCCCAACCCAUGUGAACGUUACCAAACUGUUGCCUCGGCGGGAUCUCUGCCCCGGGUGCGUCGCAGCCCCGGACCAAGGCGCCCGCCGGAGGACCAACCAAAACUCUUAUUGUAUACCCCCUCGCGGGUUUUUUACUAUCUGAGCCAUCUCGGCGCCCCUCGUGGGCGUUUCGAAAAUGAAUCAAAACUUUCAACAACGGAUCUCUUGGUUCUGGCAUCGAUGAAGAACGCAGCGAAAUGCGAUAAGUAAUGUGAAUUGCAGAAUUCAGUGAAUCAUCGAAUCUUUGAACGCACAUUGCGCCCGCCAGUAUUCUGGCGGGCAUGCCUGUCCGAGCGUCAUUUCAACCCUCGAACCCCUCCGGGGGGUCGGCGUUGGGGAUCGGCCCUUUACGGGGCCGGCCCCGAAAUACAGUGGCGGUCUCGCCGCAGCCUCUCCUGCGCAGUAGUUUGCACACUCGCAUCGGGAGCGCGGCGCGUCCACAGCCGUUAAACACCCCAAACUUCUGAAAUGUUGACCUCGGAUCAGGUAGGAAUACCCGCUGAACUUAAGCAUAUCAAUAAGCGGAGGAA